GUGCCAGCAGCCGCGGUAAUUCCAGCUCCAAUAGCGUAUAUUAAAGUUGUUGUGGUUAAAAAGCUCGUAGUUGAACCUUGGGCCUGGCUGGCCGGUCCGCCUCACCGCGUGCACUGGUCCGGCCGGGCCUUUCCCUCUGUGGAACCCCAUACCCUUCACUGGGCGUGGCGGGGAAACAGGACAUUUACUUUGAAAAAAUUAGAGUGCUCCAGGCAGGCCUAUGCUCGAAUACAUUAGCAUGGAAUAAUAAAAUAGGACGCGCGGUUCUAUUUUGUUGGUUUAUAGGACCGCCGUAAUGAUUAAUAGGGACAGUCGGGGGCAUCAGUAUUCAACUGUCAGAGGUGAAAUUCUUGGAUCAGUUGAAGACUAACUACUGCGAAAGCAUUUGCCAAGGAUGUUUUCAUUAAUCAGGAACGAAAGUUAGGGGAUCGAAGACGAUCAGAUACCGUCGUAGUCUUAACCAUAAACUAUGCCGACUAGGGAUCGGACGGUGUUAUUCAUGACCCGUUCGGCACCUUACGAGAAAUCAAAGUGCUUGGGCUCCAGGGGGAGUAUGGUCGCAAGGCUGAAACUUAAAGAAAUUGACGGAAGGGCACCACCAGGGGUGGAGCCUGCGGCUUAAUUUGACUCAACACGGGGAAACUCACCAGGUCCAGACACAAUAAGGAUUGACAGAUUGAGAGCUCUUUCUUGAUUUUGUGGUGGUGUGCAUGGCCGUUCUUAGUUGGUGGGGUGACUUGUCUGCUUAAUUGCGAAUAACGAACGAAGACCUUAACCUGCUAAAUAGCCCGCAUGCUCGCAGUGCGCUGCUUCUUAAGAGGGACUUCGGCUCAAGCCGAAGGAAGUUUGAGGCAUA
This 856-nucleotide ribosomal RNA is filed under the name uncultured fungus. RNAcentral's name for it is "SSU rRNA". It matches the Rfam family "Eukaryotic small subunit ribosomal RNA", at positions 564 to 1455 of the family's 1831-position model. The record is from RNAcentral. Lineage: Eukaryota; Fungi.